RNAcentral lists this ribosomal RNA (440 nucleotides) under uncultured bacterium. RNAcentral describes it as "partial 16S ribosomal RNA". It matches the Rfam family "Bacterial small subunit ribosomal RNA", at positions 338 to 795 of the family's 1533-position model. The record is from RNAcentral.
CCUACGGGUGGCAGCAGUGGGGAAUUUUGCACAAUGGGGGCAACCCUGAUGCAGCGAUGCCGCGUGUGUGAAGACGUCUUUCGGUAUGUAAAGCUCUUUCAGCAGGGAAGAUAAUGACGGUUCCUGAAUAAGAAUCUCCUGACAAUUACGUGCCAGUAGCCGCGGUAAUACGAAGGGUGCAAGCGUUAUCCGGAAUUAAUGGGUGUAAAGGGAGUGAGGGUGGCUGGGCAAGACAGAUGUGAAAACCCCGGGCUCAACCCCGGAAGCGCAUAUGAGACUGUCCCGCUGGAGUUCAGGAGAGGGAAGCGGAAUUCCAAGUGUAGCAGUGAAAUGCAUAGAUAUGUGGAGGAACACCAGUGGCGAAGACAGCUUACUGGACUGUAACUGACGCUGAGGCACGAAAGCGUGGGGAGCAAACAGGAUUAGAUACCCCUGUAGUC